CACCGUCAGAUUUCAGGAAAACUCUUCUUUUAAGCUUUUCCAUCACAUUUUUUAGCUUGACCAUGGCUAAUAGUUGUGGAUAUUGCUUUGAGCUACCUUUUGGGUUUGAUUUGCUUCAUUCGCAAUCAAAUGGUUGUAUUUAUACUGCUGAAACAUGAAUCUGAGGCAUUUUAAUUAUCUGACCUUACCGGGAUAAUAAUGUUCACGUGGGCGGUCUAUUAGUAAAGAGAGAAUAAGAAGCUAGUAAGUGCAUCCAACGCAGGUUAGGCGAAGUUGCAUGAAAAACUUAUUGAGAUUACUUGGACACAUGCGGCAGAGUCCACUUAUGCACCAAGUAGGGGUGAUUUCGUUCAAAUUGAUGCAAAUCGGAGAAAGUAGUAAAAAGAGGUAUGAUAACACCUAAUUUGCCAAAUAAUCAUACCAUAAAUAGUGUUGUGUGGAAAAAGGGUCCUUAUAGAUGACCCAAUAAUUUAAAUGCUAAAUGCUAAAUGCUUAGUCUUUGUUGUCGCUGUUGUUGCUGUUGUAUUAAGUAGACAAUCUGAUUUCCAGCUUUAUCAUAGCUUUGAAUGGACAAUAUCUUCAAUUUUCCUCUAUCAUUGGUGAACUUCCUAAAGCUUUAGACCAAACACCAAAGUGAUAUGUCGAUUCUUCUAGUUGAGAGGGGAGUUGCAACAAUUGUCAAAACUGCUGUUAGAAACAGCUAGCAGUCAAUUAUGUAUGCUUGCUUGACACUAAUUCUUGAUUAGGUUUGCAGUGUCUCUCCUGAAAUAAAUGCAUUUGCAUUCUCAUAGGUGUAAUAACUAAAAGGAUAGGGAGAAAGUCUUUUCUCAUUAAGAACAGAAACCUUACAUGAGGGGUUCCUGAGGAGGUAGGUAUGUCGAGCUAAUGAGCUUUUCCAUAUAUAAUCCAAAAAAGUAACAUAAGCAUAUAUUCCUGCAGAAUCUGAAUCUUCAUAUGUGCCCCACCUACAUGUUAUUCAAAAACACCUUUAAGAUGAAGAGAGAUUGAAAUUCAUACUGGGAAGUUUUUUUGUUAACUGUUAAUUAAUUAAGUUUUUGAAGGGCGUACAUGAAAUUGUAGAUACGUAACUUUGCUGGGGUGUAUACAUGUAAGCAGAUAUGUACAUACGUGAUUUUGCAAGAAAGGAGGAAGUGUGAGGGCAUGAUAUUGCAGGAAAGGAGAAAUGUCUAUGGCAUAAAUAAGAUUCGCAGGCCCAAAAAAGGAGAAUCUUCAAAUAUUCGGAGCUUCUGAUUCUGCUCAAUAGUGCUCCUUCUAAAGGCACUUAUCGGACAACACUUCAUCGAACAGCAUUGCACCGUACAGUAGAGAAGUUCAUUCAUUUCUCCUUGUGGGGAGGUAUUGCAUUAUCCCAGUUGGCUACCUAAUGAAGUGCUUGGCUACAUGGUGGAAACAGUUGCAACAACCAACAAACAGAGCAUGGGGCUACAUGUUUCGCGAGACGGUUAGAUCAGCUUCUCUAUUUCGAAAAGCAAAAAGUGUCGAGCAUCUAUAAAAUGAACAUUUGGAUUCGAAGUUUGAGGCAACUUUUGAAUAGACAUUAUUUAUGUCUGUUAAAAUUGGAGAAAUUGGAUGAAACUUGUAUAAGAUUUCUUCUAAGAAAUCAAAUUAUGAUUACCGUUUAGUUAAUCGUGCAUUAA
This is a long non-coding RNA of Ananas comosus (pineapple), 1658 nucleotides long. RefSeq lists it as uncharacterized. The transcript is spliced from 3 exons. Lineage: Eukaryota; Viridiplantae; Streptophyta; Magnoliopsida; Poales; Bromeliaceae. The record is from RefSeq and is a predicted model, not a curated record.